This 485-nucleotide ribosomal RNA is filed under the name uncultured bacterium. RNAcentral's name for it is "bacterial SSU rRNA". It matches the Rfam family "Bacterial small subunit ribosomal RNA", at positions 327 to 805 of the family's 1533-position model. The record is from RNAcentral.
AACCGAGAACUCCUACGGGAGGCAGCAGUGGGGAAUUUUGGACAAUGGGGGCAACCCUGAUCCAGCAAUGCCGCGUGAGUGAAGAAGGCCUUCGGGUUGUAAAGCUCUUUUGUCAGGGAAGAAACGGUAGUAGCUAAUAUCUAUUACUAAUGACGGUACCUGAAGAAUAAGCACCGGCUAACUACGUGCCAGCAGCCGCGGUAAUACGUAGGGUGCGAGCGUUAAUCGGAAUUACUGGGCGUAAAGCGUGCGCAGGCGGCUUUGCAAGACAGAGGUGAAAUCCCCGGGCUCAACCUGGGAACUGCCUUUGUGACUGCAAGGCUAGGGUACGGCAGAGGAGGAUGGAAUUCCGCGUGUAGCAGUGAAAUGCGUAGAUAUGCGGAGGAACACCGAGGGCGAAGGCAAUCCCCUGGGCCUGUACUGACGCUCAUGCACGAAAGCGUGGGGAGCAAACAGGAUUAGAAACCCUUGUAGUCCGACUGAGA